AGAAAUUGGUGUAGUCAGCAGGAUCAGCGAGAGGCGAGAGGUUGACGGUUCCGAGUGUCGAAAGGGACUUGGUGUGGUCCUGUCCACCGUGCUUGGUUCCCUUUGGGGAGUGCUGCGCACAAACAAGACAGCUGGAACAAAGGUUUUGGGUGGAACUGGACUCUUCCAAAAAGAUAGAACCUCCACAUAUGAAUUUCAUGAUGUUUCCUGAAAAGACUCCUUUAAAUCAGAUUUUCCAUGACAAUGACUGGGAUAAAUAUAUUGAGGACGUGGAAGCCAUCUUUGCUAGAUUGCAGGUGACACUGGAUUCUUACAGAAAGAUGCGAGAUCCAGAUGUGAAUUUUAAGAUUGUUCGUCAAACCUCUUUUACUAAUAAUGAUGUUUCAUAUGAAAAUGAUGCGGAUCAACUGAUUGAGGAGGUGGAAGCCG
Molecule: long non-coding RNA, 429 nt
Organism: Electrophorus electricus (electric eel)
Lineage: Eukaryota; Metazoa; Chordata; Actinopteri; Gymnotiformes; Gymnotidae
Source: RefSeq, a predicted model, not a curated record